GACGAACGCUGGCGGCGUGCUUAACACAUGCAAGUCGAACGGAAAGGCCCUGCUUGCAGGGUACUCGAGUGGCGAACGGGUGAGUAACACGUGGGUGAUCUGCCCUGCACUUCGGGAUAAGUCUGGGAAACUGGGUCUAAUACCGGAUAGGAGCCAUUUUUAGUGUGAUGGUUGGAAAGUUUUUUCGGUGUAGGAUGAGCUCGCGGCCUAUCAGCUUGUUGGUGGGGUAAUGGCCUACCAAGGCGGCGACGGGUAGCCGGCCUGAGAGGGUGGACGGCCACAUUGGGACUGAGAUACGGCCCAGACUCCUACGGGAGGCAGCAGUGGGGAAUAUUGCACAAUGGGCGCAAGCCUGAUGCAGCGACGCCGCGUGGGGGAUGACGGCCUUCGGGUUGUAAACUCCUUUCGCUAGGGACGAAGCUUUUUGUGACGGUACCUAGAUAAGAAGCACCGGCUAACUACGUG
This 465-nucleotide ribosomal RNA is filed under the name uncultured bacterium. RNAcentral's name for it is "partial 16S ribosomal RNA". It matches the Rfam family "Bacterial small subunit ribosomal RNA", at positions 28 to 507 of the family's 1533-position model. The record is from RNAcentral.